CGGGGUGAGUAAUGUCUGGGAAACUGCCUGAUGGAGGGGGAUAACUGCUGGAAACGGUAGCUAAUACCGCAUAACGUCGCAAGACCAAAGAGGGGGACCUUCGGGCCUCUUGCCAUCGGAUGUGCCCAGAUGGGAUUAGCUAGUAGGUGGGGUAACGGCUCACCUAGGCGACGAUCCCCAGCUGGUCUGAGAGGAUGGCCAGCCACACUGGAACUGAGACACGGUCCAG
This 229-nucleotide ribosomal RNA is filed under the name uncultured bacterium. Its description in RNAcentral is "partial 16S ribosomal RNA". It matches the Rfam family "Bacterial small subunit ribosomal RNA", at positions 104 to 334 of the family's 1533-position model. The record is from RNAcentral.